RNAcentral lists this ribosomal RNA (423 nucleotides) under uncultured bacterium. Its description in RNAcentral is "bacterial SSU rRNA". It matches the Rfam family "Bacterial small subunit ribosomal RNA", at positions 97 to 520 of the family's 1533-position model. The record is from RNAcentral.
GGCGAACGGGUGAGUAACACGUGAGUAAUCUGCCCUCCACUUUGGGAUAACUGCCGGAAACGGUAGCUAAUACCGGAUAUGACUGUGCCCUGCAUGGGGUGUGGUGGAAAGUUUUUUUCGGUGGGGGAUGUGCUCGCGGCCUAUCAGCUUGUUGGUGGGGUAAUGGCCUACCAAGGCUUUGACGGGUAGCCGGCCUGAGAGGGUGACCGGCCACACUGGGACUGAGACACGGCCCAGACUCCUACGGGAGGCAGCAGUGGGGAAUAUUGGACAAUGGGCGGAAGCCUGAUCCAGCAACGCCGCGUGAGGGAUGACGGCCUUCGGGUUGUAAACCUCUUUCGCUACCGACGAAGGCUCAUCUUUUUGGGUGGGUUGACGGUAGGUGGAGAAGAAGCCCGGCCAACUACGUGCCAGCAGCCGCGG